UCCCUGUUUCCCAGACCAUAUAGCACCAGAAUAACCUGUGAAGCUAUUAAAAAAAAACAACAACAGAUUUCUGGAGUCUACCUCCAAGAAAUUCUGAAUGAACAGGUUAGAGAAGAGCUGAGGGAUCUACAUUUUAACCAACACAGAUUGUUUGAGGCUCACCAGUCUAAAAAAAAAUCUUUAAGGUUGUUUCUAAUUCUGAAAUUCAUUAUUCAGAGUAUCCAGUUUCUGCUUCCAUGGUCUCAAACUCCCUGCUUACUGCCUCUACUGAUUCUCACCAUUGGUAGUCCGAAGCUUGGGUCUUCUGAUGCUCUACCUAUGGGAAAGAGAUUACUUCUAGAUUGCCAAGAGUCAGCAUCUUGGACAUGGUGAUGAUGUUAACCAACACCAGGAAGUUCUUCUCGCAGAUCAUCCCCUGGAUCUGAGAAAAUGCUGCUCUUGGGUGACAGAAGUAGAUGAUAUGGAUCUUGCUUCUUUGUGUGACUUCGGAGGGUCUACAGGACAUGGGUGAGAAUGUGACUUUAGGAAAUGAUGCUGCCUAUGAGUCUGGUUUCUUUUUUGGACUCCUGAGGCUUGAGCACUCACCUGAAUAAAAUAAGCAUGUACGAGGUAACUGUAACUGUG
Molecule: long non-coding RNA, 624 nt
Filed under: Vulpes vulpes (red fox)
Lineage: Eukaryota; Metazoa; Chordata; Mammalia; Carnivora; Canidae
Description: lncRNA (ENSVVUG00000019728.1)
Source: RNAcentral